This 253-nucleotide ribosomal RNA is filed under the name uncultured bacterium. RNAcentral's name for it is "partial 16S ribosomal RNA". It matches the Rfam family "Bacterial small subunit ribosomal RNA", at positions 524 to 776 of the family's 1533-position model. The record is from RNAcentral.
UACAGAGGAGCCAAGCGUUGUCCGGAUUGACUGGGCGUAAAGCGCACGCAGGCGGUUGCGCGCGUGGGGUGUGAAAUCUGGCCGCUUAACGGCCAGGCGCCAUCCCAUACGGCGCGACUGGAGUGAUGCAGAGGUCGAUGGAAUUGCCGGUGUAGUAGUGAAAUGCGUAGAGAUCGGCAGGAACACCCAGGGGGAAACCAGUCGACUGGGCAUCUACUGACGCUGAGGUGCGAGAGCGUGGGGAGCGAACCGG